Molecule: ribosomal RNA, 497 nt
Filed under: uncultured bacterium
Lineage: Bacteria
Description: partial 16S ribosomal RNA
Rfam family: Bacterial small subunit ribosomal RNA
Source: RNAcentral
GAUGAACGCUGGCGGCGUGCCUAAUACAUGCAAGUCGAGCGAACAGACGAGGAGCUUGCUCCUCUGACGUUAGCGGCGGACGGGUGAGUAACACGUGGAUAACCUACCUAUAAGACUGGGAUAACUUCGGGAAACCGGAGCUAAUACCGGAUAAUAUAUUGAACCGCAUGGUUCAAUAGUGAAAGACGGUUUUGCUGUCACUUAUAGAUGGAUCCGCGCCGCAUUAGCUAGUUGGUAAGGUAACGGCUUACCAAGGCAACGAUGCGUAGCCGACCUGAGAGGGUGAACGGCCACACUGGAACUGAGACACGGUCCAGACUCCUACGGGAGGCAGCAGUAGGGAAUCUUCCGCAAUGGGCGAAAGCCUGACGGAGCAACGCCGCGUGAGUGAUGAAGGUCUUCGGAUCGUAAAACUCUGUUAUUAGGGAAGAACAAAUGUGUAAGUAACUAUGCACGUCUUGACGGUACCUAAUCAGAAAGCCACGGCUAACUACGUG